ACGCUGGCGGCAGGCCUAACACAUGCAAGUCGAGCGGUAGAGAGAAGCUUGCUUCUCUUGAGAGCGGCGGACGGGUGAGUAAUGCCUAGGAAUCUGCCUGGUAGUGGGGGAUAACGUCCGGAAACGGACGCUAAUACCGCAUACGUCCUACGGGAGAAAGCAGGGGACCUUCGGGCCUUGCGCUAUCAGAUGAGCCUAGGUCGGAUUAGCUAGUUGGUGGGGUAAUGGCUCACCAAGGCGACGAUCCGUAACUGGUCUGAGAGGAUGAUCAGUCACACUGGAACUGAGACACGGUCCAGACUCCUACGGGAGGCAGCAGUGGGGAAUAUUGGACAAUGGGCGAAAGCCUGAUCCAGCCAUGCCGCGUGUGUGAAGAAGGUCUUCGGAUUGUAAAGCACUUUAAGUUGGGAGGAAGGGCAGUAAAUUAAUACUUUGCUGUUUUGACGUUACCGACAGAAUAAGCACCGGCUAACUCUGUGCCAGCAGCCGCGGUAAUACAGAGGGUGCAAGCGUUAAUCGGAAUUACUGGGCGUAAAGCGCGCGUAGGUGGUUCGUUAAGUUGGAUGUGAAAUCCCCGGGCUCAACCUGGGAACUGCAUUCAAAACUGACGAGCUAGAGUAUGGUAGAGGGUGGUGGAAUUUCCUGUGUAGCGGUGAAAUGCGUAGAUAUAGGAAGGGACACCAGUGGCGAAGGCGACCACCUGGACUGAUACUGACACUGAGGUGCGAAAGCGUGGGGAGCAAACAGGAUUAGAUACCC
Molecule: ribosomal RNA, 759 nt
Filed under: uncultured bacterium
Lineage: Bacteria
Description: bacterial SSU rRNA
Rfam family: Bacterial small subunit ribosomal RNA
Source: RNAcentral